RNAcentral lists this ribosomal RNA (237 nucleotides) under Mantidactylus paidroa. RNAcentral describes it as "partial 16S ribosomal RNA". Lineage: Eukaryota; Metazoa; Chordata; Amphibia; Anura; Mantellidae. The record is from RNAcentral.
CCUAUAAGACGAGAAGACCCCAUGGAGCUUCAAACCCAACUACACCCCUAACUUCUAUAACCCCCACCCCACGGGACCCUGUAUAGUUGGUUUUAGGUUGGGGCAACCACGGAGCACAACAAAGCCUCCACAAUGAAUGGGACCACCCCCCUUAUCUAAGAGCCACACCCCUAGGAAUUAAAACAUUAAUAUAAAAUGAUCCAUUAUUUGAUCAAUGAACCAAGUUACCCUGGGGAU